Molecule: ribosomal RNA, 253 nt
Filed under: uncultured bacterium
Lineage: Bacteria
Description: partial 16S ribosomal RNA
Rfam family: Bacterial small subunit ribosomal RNA
Source: RNAcentral
UACGGGGGGGGCAAGCGUUGUUCGGAAUUACUGGGCGUAAAGGGCUCGUAGGCGGCCAACUAAGUCAGACGUGAAAUCCCUCGGCUUAACCGGGGAACUGCGUCUGAUACUGGAUGGCUUGAGAUUGGGAGAGGGAUGCGGAAUUCCAGGUGUAGCGGUGAAAUGCGUAGAUAUCUGGAGGAACACUGGUGGCGAAGGCGACAUCCUGGACCAACACUGACGCUGAGGAGCGAAAGCCAGGGGAGCAAACGGG